GACGAACGCUGGCGGCGUGCUUAACACAUGCAAGUCGAACGGAAAGGCCCUGCUUUUGUGGGGUGCUCGAGUGGCGAACGGGUGAGUAACACGUGAGUAACCUGCCCUUGACUUUGGGAUAACUUCAGGAAACUGGGGCUAAUACCGGAUAGGAGCUCCUGCUGCAUGGUGGGGGUUGGAAAGUUUCGGCGGUUGGGGAUGGACUCGCGGCUUAUCCGCUUGUUGGUGGGGUAGUGGCUUACCAAGGCUUUGACGGGUAGCCGGCCUGAGAGGGUGACCGGCCACAUUGGGACUGAGGUACGGCCCAGACUCCUACGGGAGGCAGCAGUGGGGAAUAUUGCGCAAUGGGCGGAAGCCUGAUGCAGCAACGCCGCGUGCGGGAUGACGGCCUUCGGGUUGUAAACCGCUUUCGCCUGUGACGAAGCGUGAGUGACGGUAAUGGGUAAAGAAGCACCGGCUAACUACGUG
This 468-nucleotide ribosomal RNA is filed under the name uncultured bacterium. RNAcentral describes it as "partial 16S ribosomal RNA". It matches the Rfam family "Bacterial small subunit ribosomal RNA", at positions 28 to 507 of the family's 1533-position model. The record is from RNAcentral.